AGUUGGGUGCGAGAGACGAUGGAGUGGAUAAGGUUUCACCUGAGGGUCUCAGCCAUUCCUCAGUGCUCUGAGGAUCCUGCCUACAUCCCCUGGAAAAUAACAUGUGGGCAGGAGAUAAAGUUAAGAAGAACAGAGAAUCUGCUAAUGGGUAGUUACUGGUGAAGACAAGGAGGUGGUCUGCAGGGCAUCCAGCUCCAAUGCUGGGUGGUGGUGUGGGGGUUAGAGGAGAGCUUUUACCAUGGAGGAUUGUAUUUGAAACUGAUGCAGCUAUACCUGGAAAAGAUUUCAUGGACUUCUGAGGGGCUUUGGCCCUGUCUGGAGUGCUUUGGGUUGCACUUGCAGAAGAGAAAAGGUCCUAGGGUCUUCUGAACAGGAGCUGUCCCAGGACUGAGAGGGGAAAGUUAAGAAGAGAUGCCUUGGAUUUCAGCUAAUGGAUAGAGCAAGACAAGGUCUUGCAGCCGGAAGGAUUUUGCUCACAAACAAUAAUGAAGAGGAGGGAUGCGGAGAAGGAAAUGAAAAAUGUGUCAUUAACCAUUCCUCCAAAAACAAGAGGGAUGCAAUUAGUGCAAAUGGGAGAGAGGAAAAAUGGAAGAAGAUAUCCAAGAUCUUCAUUUUUAGGACAGUGGCACUGGGGAAAUGACGAGUCAAGAGGUCCUUGACCUUUUUGUUCCUGAUGCUUGGCAGCUGUGUCACUGGGUAAUGAUUGACUCCUCCUACACUCCUGCUGCCCUCUCUCUGCUGUCCUCAUGCCAGGCAGGCACUGCCAUCCUCUCUUUGGUUCCAAGUGUCUUUUUCUAACAAAUGUCUUCAUUUGCAGAAAUCGUCCUCCUCCAGAUUAUGUCCUUCUGGACUCAAAAGGAAGAGCCACAUCUCUUCUGGGGGGGAAUCCAAAAAGCCAGCUUGGCAGAAAUAUGUGAUGUCAGGCAUCUGGAAAAUGGUAUUACCCAAAAUAAUUGGAAAAGCUAUUAUAAAGGUGAAAGAGCUAAAUAUUUCUGCAAUACAAAUUAUCGUACUGACAAUGAGGAUGGUGAAAUUAUGUGCACAAAGAGUGGCUGGUCACCUACUCCAAGAUGUAUCCAUAAAGACUACGUCACAUUUCAAAGAGAAUUCAUUUCCACUACAUGCUCGAGCAGGUUGGAGUAAGGGACCGUCUACACGCGAGACAAACUGCCUCUUGUGUAGUGUUUCCUCCUGCAGUGUGGUAUCCCUCAUCCCAUUUAUACAGCAGCACUUCAUUCACUCGGAGCUAUCGCUGGGUUGUGAAGUAGUUGCCAUGAUGUAACUCAGGUACGGGAAGGACAGUGGAAUUUUAUGAACAUAUAUGAAAUGAGAAGGAAAGAAACAAUCCUACCAACUUUCUUAGUACAGCUUGCUUGGGAAGACCAUCCACCUGAUUGACAUUGUACUGUAUCUUCAGUACCACCUCUGGGAGCUCGGCAGCCUUGAUUACAUUUGUGCUGUAGUUUCUCGUGUAUUUUGAAGUACAUUUCUGUACCGUAAAAAAUGCCAUGUUCCAGAAGAGGCUGAUUGCAUUUUUCUAAAUGAAAAAAGACAGUUUGGUUAGGAAGAAAUAAUCGAUGUAAUAUUUUUCCUGAUAGGCAAGAAAGUGGGGUUUUUAAAUUAUUUCCAUCCAAUUUCAUUUUCUUGUUUUGUUGAAAUGCUCCCGCAAUCAUUGAGCAGACAGUAGUACCAUGGAAUAUGUCUCUGGAGCUAAAGAGGCUCAGAUGCACAUCUGUAACUAAAAUGUCAAUUAUUUUUCCCAAGUUCAGUUACACUGGGCAGCUUUCUUGGAAUUCUUAAAAAGCAUAUGUGGUAAGAGUCCUUAGAACAUAUACUAGCAUAAAACAAUUCGAUGUAUGAAUAAACAUAAUGGAUUUGACCUUGACCUAGCUUACACAUUUUUAUCCCUACUGUUCUGCACCUUUUGUCCCUCUAUGCUUAAGGAAAUUGAGCUAAAACAGUUUUCUGCUAGAAGCAAUAAUGAAAUAAAGAAGCGAACUCACUGUAGCGUUGUGGCA
This is a long non-coding RNA of Centrocercus urophasianus (Greater sage-grouse), 2018 nucleotides long. RefSeq lists it as uncharacterized. The record is from RefSeq and is a predicted model, not a curated record. Lineage: Eukaryota; Metazoa; Chordata; Aves; Galliformes; Phasianidae. The transcript is spliced from 5 exons.